Long non-coding RNA from Thamnophis elegans (Western terrestrial garter snake), 7178 nucleotides. RefSeq lists it as uncharacterized. The record is from RefSeq and is a predicted model, not a curated record. Lineage: Eukaryota; Metazoa; Chordata; Lepidosauria; Squamata; Natricidae. The transcript has 3 exons.
CCACCAAUCACAGGCUGUGCUUCGCCCGACCAAUUAGAACACAGCACAGGCUGUUGCUGGGCUAUAACAAAACUACCUUGAAUGAUUAUUGCCCCCUGGGUUUCACAGUCUUAAGGGUUAGAGCCAAUUAAUAUAAUUAAGUUGUAAGUGAAUUAUCAAAUAGGUUUUCAGUGUUUAUUGUCCAGAAGACAACUAAACAGAAUCUUUGAGGAACCUUCUCCAGAUUGCCUUGAUAUCCUAAUUAUGAGGUUGAAGAAGCCCUGAGCCAGUGCUUUAUUUUGUGAGACCACCACUACUUUGACCUUUUCAUUCAGAUGUAUUUGGAGUUUUUAUGUAAAAUGAUGCUUGGUUUAUUCCAUUUGAUCUGUAGAUAUUUCAUGUAUCUAAAGGAACACUUGAAGGCACCAUCAUGCACAUGUAAAUUCCCCCUUUCAUACAGAAGCAGUCUUUUCUGCUCUACUAGUAAAACACAAAGGUUAGUAUAGUCAAAAUCCCAUUUGUAACUCAUUGUUUACACAUGAUGAAUAGUCCAUUCGUUUGAUGACAGCAUACAACAAUGUGAAUGGAAAUAAUGAAGUUCAUGGAAAAGGGCCAAGAAAUUUUUCCAGGGGCAGAAAAAAAGGUAGGACUUGAUAUCUUUUGAAACUUGAUGAAAGGAAGUCAUGAGAGGAUCAGAGACAGGGCUGACAUUGUUAAGUACUUCAUUGUAACUGGAAAUAUUUGAAAAACUCAAACCACCAAAACUGAAAUAUUCGCUAAAAAGGGGAAAGACAGCUAUAUUCAGCGAGAUCAAGACAAUACUUUUGAUAUGUCUGCCAAGGUCAAUCAAAGAAUGUUAGAUUUAAAAGAUAAUGCCAAAAACAAUCUGUUCAAGGUCCAACAGCAGUCCUUCCAUCCAUCUAUGCAUCCAUCAAUCUCACUUCAGGAUGGUGAAAUGAAAAAAAAAAUCCAAGUGUGACUUCAUUGAAGUGCCUUACAAAAAUACAGCAAAUUGAAACAUACCAAAGAUUAUUUGAAAGACCAGCAACAGUAUAUAUUCAAUAAUUAAUAUUGUACCCUUGUGACUCUAUAGCCCCGGGCAUCAGAAAUAGAUCUUCCAUUCAAAGAGACACUGUGAAAGUCUUUUAACAGAAAAAGUAAAAGAAUUUCUUUACCAGAAGAGAAAGAAAAUACUAUGGUCUUAAAACUUUAUAUAAGUGGCACCACAGGACAUUACAAGAACAAAAGUGUGACUUCCUAGAGCAUCUUGAUCUUCUGAGUGUAAUGUUUUUACCAGGUCAUUUUCUUGCCUUUGCCUCCUUCAGAGGAAGUAAGUGGAAAGCUACAAUAGCAAAAAAAAAAACUACAAUCAAUGCUUCUAAAAUGUGUGUUUGAACAAGCUUGAUGUUAAAAGUACAUUUUUGUUUCAGACCAGAUAGAUGACCAUCAUUUCAGUUUCUUCUGUUCAAAAAUACACUGAUAUUAAAUGAUAAUAACAUAAAAUUAACAAGGAAUACCAUGAAGAUACUUUUUACAGGCAUCCAAGAAAUCUUUGGACUAGAGGUUUAGAAAAUGAUAGUUCCCACUACCAAAUUGUUUGUAUCAUGAGAUAAAAAAGGAUUGAGGAAGCUUUAAAUAGAAAAAAAAAUCUAAUAAUUUGAACUUUAUAUCACAUUUCAAAUAUUUUAUUAUUAUAUUUUUUUUUAAAAAGAGUAAUGAUUAUUUGUAGGGUGUUUUUUUGUGAGCAAGCUUAAAUAUCUUUGCCAUCUUAAAAUGGUAAAUAGAAGAAAAUGUAGCACAAACCUAAAAUAGACUUAACAUAGACCACCCUGCCAGCCUGCAUCAAAUCCUGUCUCCACUAAUGUAUACGUGCAAGCUUAGCAUCAUCAGUCCAUUCUCUGCAGCUGUUAGCCAUACCCAAACCAUUGAGCUAGGCCAUUAAAUGCAUUGCUUCAGACAUUAAAAAGUUAUUCACCCAUAUUAAGAAGUCUUGUUUGCUUAAAGCUAGCUUUUGUUUUGAUCAUUGCAAAAAUCUUUAGGCAACUCUUCUAUGUGUAACCAUUAAAUGAAUUCAUAAGAGAAAAUAUAGAAUUGUCCCAAUUGGUCCUGUGCCCUAAUCAUGUUUAUUUUGCUGUCAUUGUCAAAGAGGGAAACUAGGCAGAAGUCUUACUGGCGUUUUUCCUUAUGUGGAAGAAUCCUAUUUUAAGUCUGUACAAAUAUUCAAAAUAUUGAAUAUGCUUCAUGCUGAAUACAUGGUAAUGCUCAUGAUAUAUGAUAAUGAGUAUAUUGCCAUUCUAUAGGAAGCUGGGAUUUCUCAUAAUGUAGAAUCUUAAACUGUAGAUACAGGGGCCAUCAUUCAUAGGUUGAAUGAUUCCAACAGAAUCCAUUCUGAUAUGGACAAGCAAAAUUUAUGACAUAAAUGAACCGGAAGAUAAUAAUAUAUAGAUUUGAUUAGGGUAUCGAGUUAACUAUAAUCUAUAAUUUUUAGUAAUGUUCUGUUAGAGGCUAAGAGUUUCAGAGAUACUACUGGAGUUAGUAUACAUUAAUACUAUGUCAUUAAUUUAUUCUUUGGAUGUGAGCUCACAAAUACUUCAAUCUUUGCUUGGUUUCCCUCCUUACAAAUAUUUAUAAAUAUGACCAGCUGCACUGAAGAUUUCUGCAGAAAAUUAAAAAGUGUUUUUCUGAUGUGAUUCACAGAGGCUUGGGAAGAAGGUAAAAGUGCCACAGUACUGACUCAAAAAGAAAAAUACAGCUGGAGGAUGCCAGACUGCGGAAGGAAGGCUUUAGGAAAAAGAAGACACAACAUAGGAAAAAAAUUGACUACUCUCCAAGAAUCAAUUGAGUAAUUUCGAAAGUCAGAAACCAGUUGUCUUAAUGUAUUUUGGAAGUGGCAUCCACAAGAGGUCAAAAAACACCAAGAUGGCACAGAUACAACUGUACAAUCAAGGCUCUGCACAUGAAAAAGAGGUGAGCUUCAAUCAUAUAUAAAUGUAGGUACAGAUCUAUGCAGUUCCUACCCUGAUAUUCCAGAAGUCUUAAAAAAAAAUCUGCCUUCUGUCUUUGGCCUGGGAUAUGGUGCUUGAUGAUACAUGUUAAUGGUGUGUUUUUUUGUUAUACGGGAUGAGGCUGUCUGAACACUUCAGAUUUUUUCUUUAUUGUUUUUAUGGAUUUCAGCUGUGGGCCACUUAGAAUCAUUCUGGAAUCAAACUGUUGGACGCUGAUGCUGAUGAUAACAUCUUGACUGAUUUGACCUAUCCUACAAAUGCCCUUGCCUCUGGGGAAGCAAUUUAGGGAAGGCUGAGAUAAUCAAUACAAUAUUAUAUGGAUCAAUGAUCUGACUCACAAGUUCCAAUGCUAUAGAAUUGGAAAUAAAAUUCUUAUAUAGAACAGGGGUGUCAAACUCACGUCGUCACGGCAGCAUCACGUUACAUAUCGGGACUUUUUUCUCCUUUGCUAAAACGGGCAUGGCCGUGGCCAGCACAUGACACAUCCAGCCUACAGGCUGGGAGUUUGAAAGGCCUGAAAUAGGACAUUAACUUAAAUCACCUUUUAAGAAGGAGGGUUGCAAAUCUGAUACAUAUGUAUGCUGUUAUCUUUGCUUUGUAUUCUUGAAUGCUAUCAUAGUAUGACUGUUAUAUUUCAAAACAAUUAUAUUUUUAAGGCUUUCUGGGUUCUUCAAAAUUGUACUGUUCUGUUUUUCUGAGACCUCUAGUAUCUAUCUACACCUUGCUUUAGAAAAUAAUUAUUUUUUGUGACUUCUGAUUUGGGUGGAAAAUAUUUAAUGAACAUUUGUUUGAAAAUGUCUGCAUUGCAAGAAAACUUAUCAAAGCAAGGAAAGCACUUCCUUGAAAUUGAAUGAACUGGAACGCAUGAUAAUGCACAUGCUUAGAGAACCCGUAGGGGAGAAAAGAACCCAUUUUAUAAACACAACCUUGUUAUUGUUGUAGUAGAAUUUAAAGUGAAAUAAAAGUGCUAGGCAUCAACGUGUAUAAAUUCCAAAGCCUGUGACUGAAAAAGUAAACUGAUACAUACUGCCUAUCUAUAGGAAAUGUAAUCUCUUCCUUUUCAGAAUAACAACCUUCAUUAGUUGCAUUCACAAGAGAGCAGCUUUCUUCUGAAGGGGAGGAAGAAUGUCCACCUGCUUACGACUGCAAGAUGAAUGAUUUUUUUUUUGCAAGAUGGUCCUGUCUUCCUACAACACUUCUUACAGUGUUGGCUUUCCACUGACAUACGCUCUGUAAAGGUCCAGAUCAGUUUUUCUUCUUGGUGGCUGAAAAAUAAAUAUCAAAGGCUUUCAAAGGAUUAGUCCAAGUGCUCUAAAGAUAAAAAAGAUGAGUCAUAAAUACAUUCAGUUCAAUUUUUCUUGUUAACUGAUGAAAGGCUUAAUAUGAAUUUCAAUCUAGUCCAAAAAUAGCAAUAAUACACUCCUGUCUAAGAUGGCAAGAUCUGUCCUUGCUUUGACAGAAAAAUACUAUCUUGAAAUAAAUAGAAGCAAAUAAAUAGAUUUGUUAGUUUAUCCACAGGAUACUUCUAGACAAUUCUUCUGUCUCCUCAAAAUGGUAAAUCUCUAAUAGGAGGCAAGGCAGACAUAUCACGUCCAGUAAGAACACCAACUAACACUUCAAGGAUACAAGAGCAUACCAUUCCUGAAGUAAUGUUUACUUCUUUGAAAUAACAUUUCUUGUCUGUGGAUAUAAUCCCACUGGGGCAGGAAUAUAAUAAAAAUAGCUUAUACUUGCAAAUUUAUGUUUAUGAUCAACAGAUCAACAGAAAUUCUUCUUGCACAAGUAUCAGUCCAGCAUCUUCAUCUGGAAAGCAUUCUAGAAUGGACAGAAACUGUAUAGAUGUAAUGUCACAAUAGCUCUCGUACCAGCAUGACAGCACAAUGCUUCACAUAUCUCAUAUAAGGGUAGUGAAAAAAUAAGAUAUGGCAGAAAUAAAUAAGAAUGUCAAUUGCUCCAACCUAAGCUGCAGAACUGGGUUGGCCUUGAAUUGGUGUCAUUUUCGUGAUGGUCUGUGUAUAUUCACAUAGCUGCAUGCUCAGGAUUAUUGUCAUAAUCCAGAAAGCUAGAUUUAAUAUAUUAAAAAAAACAUUAAUGGUACAAGUUAUGAUGCCACUACUGCAUUUUUGUUAAUUACUAAUUACUGUCUGUUAGGGGACACUAGUGUUCUUUUUUUGUAGUAGUGCAACAGGAGCAGGCAAGUAGCAGACUUACUACUCCUUACUUUUAUUAUUAGCUUGAAAUCCUACUUAUCCUAACAGAGAUACAUGAAAACAGAGGAAACACCUUAACAAAGCCUUGUAGCUUGAUGCUUCUGGCCACCAUUUUCCUGGUAAGAAAAUAGAAUGUCAUCUGUUCUUAUGGAGAUGCAAGAGGACAUAAACUUAGUUUUAAAAAACAACAUGAGCAUUACAAAUAUGAUGCUGCAUGUGGCUAAAAAUAUAAUGUCAUGGUUGAAAGAUUGUGGGAAUUCUGUUUCUAUGUCUAUGACAGGUUUAUUCACUAACAAGAUCUGUCAAGACAAAAUAAUGCCUUUAUCAUCUAAAUCUAAAAUAAUGCCUAUAUCAUCACUCAUAUAUUUCAUAGCUGGUUGGAAUUCCAGAACAGUCAGUCAGCCUGGUUUCUUUAUGGAAAUCCUAAUAUAUUAAAUGGUAGCCAUGCCAAAAGAUGAUUAAUGAAGCUGCUGCACAGCAACCUUUCCUUUUCAUGUUGUUUAUAAGCUCUGGUCAUUUAUGCAAAGUUUCCAGGUUUACAUAAAAAGUAAUUCAUUGAAAUGUGCCUACUUCAUUCCAACAAUUGAAUGGAGGAAAAUAAAUAUUAUAUUGUGGCAUUUUAGGAUUAUACCAAGGAGAUCUAAAAUAUUGGUACCACAGUAUCAUGGUUUGUAAUAAUAAUUUCCAUUAUUUUUUUUCAAGUUUUGAAGUAUCUUUGCUAUAAAUGUAUCAGAUCAUUGAUUCUAUGAUUUUUAACUAUCUUUUAACUCUAGCAUUAUGUCAGGUAAUGUUCCCAAAGAUCACAUGCAGAAUAAUUGAACUGAAUCACAAAACAGCAUUUUCUGACUGAAAUACGAACAACUAUAUUUGCCCUUAAUUUCAGCAUUAUAGUGAUUACAAUGUAUAAGUCUACAGCUGUAUUUGAAGAUGGCUCUAGGUACUUUUUACACAGAGUAGGAGACCUACAAUAAGGCAUAAAACCUCUUCAAUUAGAACAUUUUCUUGAAAGUCUGAUUUUUGCUUUCACAGAAAAUAAGCAGGUUUGGGAUAAAAUCCCUCUUUCUUCUGACUUUAUUAAACUGAGAUUUGAGGUUGACAACCAUAAAUUAACUAGCCCUGAUGACUUCUAUACAGAAAGUAAAUGAAUUUAACGUAUAAGGUUACUUAUUUAUAAUCAAAUGACCAUGAUUAACAAAGAAAGGAGUUGCCAUUGUGUUGUAUUAAUAAUGAAAAUUUAGUGGUCUUAAGAUUUUUUGACAUAUUUCAAUUAGUGUUAUCUACAGUAUUUUAGAUUUUAAUUAUUUAAUUAGGAUUAUGCACUCUUUUAAAAAUACCGGUUCUAUUAUUUGCACUGUGCUUAUAUAUCCUCUGAUAGCCUUUCUUUCUGAAGCAUCUGAAAAACAGAAAUAUUUUGCUCUAGUUCCAGGUCAUCAUCGACUUUUCUGAGUCCUGCACCCCUCCUUUUUUUUUUAAGAAUACCUGUGGUGAGGACAGACUUACUGGCUACUUCUUAUAUUUGUCAGAGACAUCAGAUACUUAGAACAACACUAUAAUGCUCAGAUAUAAUUAAUAUGCCCUAAUUUUAAAUGUGUUUAUUGUCUUCCACAUAAAGAAUGCUGAAAAUGAGGAAAGAUAGAACUAGAAGAUCAAGAUCACUUCACCAAGGAGGCCGCUCUUAAUGAUCUGGGCAUAAAGGAGUUUAGCAGUUGGAACAUCUAUAUCCCAACAACCCCACUCUACUAACCUAAUCAAUCUAUUGUAUAGGAUCCCCUAACCUACUUGCCCAGAUUGAAGAAGCUACUUAGAUAAGCACCAAAACAUUUCAAAGCAACAAGAAAAGUCCAGUUACUAUGACUCAACUUCCAGUCAGCUAUAUAUAGCUCUUCAGGAUGUCCCAUCAGGUUAGAAAUAGGAUUAUUCCUUAGCUGAUUUUGGGCACUGAUGCUGAGCUUGUCGAUCAGAAAGGUUGGCAGUUUGGCGGUUC